Molecule: long non-coding RNA, 821 nt
Organism: Lactuca sativa (garden lettuce)
Lineage: Eukaryota; Viridiplantae; Streptophyta; Magnoliopsida; Asterales; Asteraceae
Source: RefSeq, a predicted model, not a curated record
AAGUCCACGGAUCUAAAAACGUCUGUGUGAUGUCUUCUUGGCACAAAUAUGGGUUAUUGCCGUUAAAGGUCUUCACGCCAUUUUAACCUAAAAAAAGGACACAUCUUUUCUCCAGCGCCUUCAUUCCAAUUGAAGAUACGAUCGAGGGCACACAAGAGGGACAGCCGCUUACUUCAAUUGACUGGCCUCCACCGACGGUCUUCUUCAUCCUAUCUCCUCCUCUCGUCGCCACCGUCAAGACAAGGAGCACCACCGAUUUUAACCUAAAAAAACGGACGCAUCUUCUCUUCUCCAAUGCCUCCAUUCCAAUCGACUUUCUAAUCGAUUGUAUCCUCAAUCGACUGCCCCUCGACCGUCGGUAUUCUUCAGCCCGUGUCCUCUGCUCGACGCUGCUAUCCAGGGCACCACCAGCGCCCCCCUCCUCCACUGUGAACGCCUCCUCCUCCUUCCUCAUUUUCCCGAUCACCUUUCCUUCGUUCGGUCACAACUAUGCCGACGCAAAUCUCCUGGUGCAUCUCUCCAUUACCCUUUUUUGCUCGAUUUCUUGUCCAACAAAGGUAAAACCCUAGAUUUUUUAUAUUACUUCAUGUAUACCACUUUAUAUGUUUAAUUUGUUGAUAAUGUUGAUUUGUUUUGUUGAAUUUGGGAUUUUAAGUUAAAUGUUAGGAGGGUUUGUUUGUUUUUUUUUAUCAAGAGGAAUUGAACAAAAUGUGAUUCUUUUACUUCUUUGUUUAUUUGGAACCUGUGAUUGUAAGUAGGAACAAGUGUUAGGUUGAAUUUGAAUUUGUGUAAGAAUUUGAAUUAUUAAAAUGUUAGGUUAA